RNAcentral lists this transfer RNA (71 nucleotides) under Chloroflexota bacterium. RNAcentral describes it as "Chloroflexi bacterium tRNA-Gly". It matches the Rfam family "tRNA". Rfam says of the family: Transfer RNA (tRNA) molecules are approximately 80 nucleotides in length. Their secondary structure includes four short double-helical elements and three loops (D, anti-codon, and T loops). Lineage: Bacteria; Bacillati; Chloroflexota. RNAcentral also lists the same sequence under 2 other names. The record is from RNAcentral.
GCGGGCGUCGCCAAGUGGCAAGGCAUCAGCCUUCCAAGCUGACACCGCGGGUUCGAAUCCCGUCGCCCGCU